UCAUCCUGCAGACCAAAACACAACAACAAAAAAACAGUUGCUGGGCUUUUUAACUGGCAUCUUGCUACAGAUCUCACGGUUCAGAGACUUCUUCAUGACCUUAACUAAAGUAGAGGAAGGUGGAAAAUCUGGAUCCUUCAGAACUAUAGCAGAAGGAACAUCCAAACUUCAAUUCUGCCAGAGCUGCUUCUUUAUUGGAGACCAUUGUUUGCAAAUGUUUCCAGGCAUUGAAUAUUUUGGCAGUAGAGCCAGCAAAUACAGUAGCACUUAGACGGCUUGGCACCUUGAUUCAACCUCAAUCAUGAAUAAAGCAGAAGGAUAAA
Molecule: long non-coding RNA, 323 nt
Organism: Ornithorhynchus anatinus (platypus)
Lineage: Eukaryota; Metazoa; Chordata; Mammalia; Monotremata; Ornithorhynchidae
Exons: 2
Source: RefSeq, a predicted model, not a curated record